AGCAUAUCAAGUAUUAGAGGCAUUGCCUGCCCAGUGACUUAAGUUUAACGGCCGCGGUAUCCUGACCGUGCAAAGGUAGCAUAAUCACUUGUUCCCUAAUUAGGGACUAGUAUGAACGGCUAAACGAGGGCUCAACUGUCUCUUAUUUCUAAUCAGUGAAAUUGACCUUUCAGUGAAGAGGCUGAAAUAACAUAAUAAGACGAGAAGACCCUAUGGAGCUUUAAUUAGAUAGUUUAAUCACUAUAAAAUUUUUCCUAAUGGAACAACCAAAAAUGAUCUAAACUUAUAAUUUCGGUUGGGGUGACCUCGGAGAAUAACAAAUCCUCCGAAUGAUUAUAACUUAGACUUACAAGUCAAAGUAAUAAACCAUAUCUUAUUGACCCAAAUUAUUUUGAGCAACGGACCAAGUUACCCUAGGGAUAACAGCGCAAUCCUAUUUAAGAGUUCAUAUCGACAAUUAGGGU
This 464-nucleotide ribosomal RNA is filed under the name Apodemus speciosus (large Japanese field mouse). Its description in RNAcentral is "partial 16S ribosomal RNA". It matches the Rfam family "Bacterial large subunit ribosomal RNA", at positions 1833 to 2517 of the family's 2925-position model. The record is from RNAcentral. Lineage: Eukaryota; Metazoa; Chordata; Mammalia; Rodentia; Muridae.